UACGUAGGGUGCGAGCGUUACUCGGAAUCACUGGGCGUAAAGCGUGCGUAGGCGGUUGGUUAAGUCUGCUGUGAAAGCCCUGGGCUCAACCUGGGAACUGCAGUGGAUACUGGCCAGCUCGAGUGUGAUAGAGGAUGGUGGAAUUCCCGGUGUAGCGGUGAAAUGCGUAGAGAUCGGGAGGAACACCAGUGGCGAAGGCGGCCAUCUGGAUCAACACUGACGCUGAGGCACGAAAGCGUGGGGAGCAAACAGGG
RNAcentral lists this ribosomal RNA (254 nucleotides) under uncultured bacterium. Its description in RNAcentral is "partial 16S ribosomal RNA". It matches the Rfam family "Bacterial small subunit ribosomal RNA", at positions 524 to 777 of the family's 1533-position model. The record is from RNAcentral.